GAUGAACGCUGGCGGCGCGCCUAAUACAUGCAAGUCGAGCGAACGGACGAGAAGCUUGCUUUUCUGAUGUUAGCGGCGGACGGGUGAGUAACACGUGGAUAACCUACCUAUAAGACUGGGAUAACUUCGGGAAACCGGAGCUAAUACCGGAUAAUAUUUUGAACCGCAUGGUUCAAAAGUGAAAGACGGUCUUGCUGUCACUUAUAGAUGGAUCCGCGCUGCAUUAGCUAGUUGGUAAGGUAACGGCUUACCAAGGCAACGAUGCAUAGCCGACCUGAGAGGGUGAUCGGCCACACUGGAACUGAGACACGGUCCAGACUCCUACGGGAGGCAGCAGUAGGGAAUCUUCCGCAAUGGGCGAAAGCCUGACGUAGCAACGCCGCGUGAGUGAUGAAGGUCUUCGGAUCGUAAAACUCUGUUAUUAGGGAAGAACAUAUGUGUAAGUAACUGUGCACAUCUUGACGGUACCUAAUCAGAAAGCCACGGCUAACUACGUG
Molecule: ribosomal RNA, 497 nt
Filed under: uncultured bacterium
Lineage: Bacteria
Description: partial 16S ribosomal RNA
Rfam family: Bacterial small subunit ribosomal RNA
Source: RNAcentral